RNAcentral lists this ribosomal RNA (298 nucleotides) under uncultured bacterium. RNAcentral describes it as "partial 16S ribosomal RNA". It matches the Rfam family "Bacterial small subunit ribosomal RNA", at positions 28 to 326 of the family's 1533-position model. The record is from RNAcentral.
GACGAACGCUGGCGGCGUGCUUAACACAUGCAAGUCGAGCGGUAAGGCCCUUUCGGGGGUACGACGAGCGGCGAACGGGUGAGUAACACGUGGGUGACCUGCCCUCAGCUCUGGGAGUAAGCCUGGGAAACCGGGUCUAAUACUGGAUAUGACUCCAUGACGCAUGUUGGUGGGGUGGAAAGCCUUGUGCGGCUGAGGAUGGGCCCGCGGCUAUCAGCUUGUUGGUGGGGUGAGGCCUACCAAGGCGACGACGGGUAGCCGGCCUGAGAGGGCGACCGGCCACACUGGGACUGAGACA